CCUACGGGAGGCAGCAGUGGGGAAUCUUGCGCAAUGGACGAAAGUCUGACGCAGCGACGCCGCGUGGGUGAUGAAGGCCUUCGGGUUGUAAAGCCCUGUGGGGAGAGACGAAUUAGUGCGGGCUAAUACUCCGCAUGAUGACGGUAUCUCCUUAGCAAGCACCGGCUAACUCUGUGCCAGCAGCCGCGGUAAU
This 193-nucleotide ribosomal RNA is filed under the name uncultured soil bacterium. RNAcentral describes it as "partial 16S ribosomal RNA". It matches the Rfam family "Bacterial small subunit ribosomal RNA", at positions 338 to 524 of the family's 1533-position model. The record is from RNAcentral.